AUGGCCGCCACUGCGGUGAGGUGCCUGCUCAUGGCUGCCGCUGUCUUGGCCCCGCUUUUCGCCGGCUCCGAAGGCGCAUUUCUGUCGUCGAAGUUCUACGACCGGAGGUGCCCGAGCUUGCAGACCAUCGUGCGGUCGGCGAUGACGCAGGCUGUCGCGGCGGAGCCGCGGAUGGGCGCGUCCAUCCUCCGCCUCUUCUUCCAUGACUGCUUCGUCAAUGGCUGCGACGCGUCCAUCUUGCUGGACGACACCGCCAACUUCACCGGCGAGAAAAAUGCGGGGCCGAACGCCAACUCGGUGCGCGGCUACGACGUCAUCGACACCAUCAAGGCCCAGGUCGAGGCGGUCUGCAAGGCCACCGUCUCCUGCGCCGACAUCGUCGCCCUCGCCGCACGGGACAGCGUCAACCUGCUCGGCGGGCCGACGUGGGCGGUGCAGCUGGGCCGCCGCGACGCCCGGAACGCGAGCCAGAGCGCGGCCAACUCCAACCUCCCGAGCGCGGGGUCCAGCCUCGCCGGCCUCAUCGCCACGUUCGGCAGCAAGGGGCUGACGCCGCGGGACAUGACGGCGCUGUCCGGCGCGCACACCAUCGGGCAGGCCCGGUGCGCCACCUUCCGCGACCGCAUCUACAACGACACCAACAUCGACGCCAAGUUCGCGGCGCUCCGGAAGCAGACGUGCCCGCAGACCGGCGGCGACGCCACGCUCGCGCCCAUCGACGUGUCGACGCCGACCUGGUUCGACACCACCUACUUCGAGAACCUCGCGAACAAGCAGGGGCUUUUCCACUCGGACCAGGAGCUGUACAACGGCGGGUCGCAGGACGUACUGGUGAGGGUGUACAUGCGCAACCCGGAUAUAUUCGCCCUCGACUUCGCCAAGGCAAUGGGGAAGAUGGGGAGCCUCAUGCCGUCGGCGGAUACUCCCACGGAGAUCAGGCUGGACUGCAAGAAGAUCAACUAA
RNAcentral lists this ribosomal RNA (963 nucleotides) under Triticum aestivum (bread wheat). RNAcentral's name for it is "partial small subunit ribosomal RNA". The record is from RNAcentral. Lineage: Eukaryota; Viridiplantae; Streptophyta; Magnoliopsida; Poales; Poaceae.